UGAAUGACGAUGAAGAGGAUCAGUAGUCUGUGUCAAUGGCCCAGAGAAGAUAUCAGUGGUGUGAGAUAUCUCCAUAUGUACAGGUGAACCUGCCUUGGAGUUCUGUAUGAAAAUACAGCGCAUGUCCGGCGUUAGGGACAAUUGAGAGGAAGUUUUUAUUACAAUAAUAGAAAGACUUCAAAUAGGGUGGUACCGCCGAAUGAAUUUUGGUCCCUGUU
RNAcentral lists this non-coding RNA (218 nucleotides) under Pseudocoprococcus catus. Its description in RNAcentral is "Coprococcus catus T-box sequence". It matches the Rfam family "T-box leader". Rfam says of the family: Uncharged tRNA acts as the effector for transcription antitermination of genes in the T-box leader family. T-boxes are found upstream of many aminoacyl-tRNA synthetase genes and some amino acid biosynthetic genes usually in Gram-positive bacteria. Lineage: Bacteria; Bacillati; Bacillota; Clostridia; Lachnospirales; Lachnospiraceae. The record is from RNAcentral.